RNAcentral lists this ribosomal RNA (611 nucleotides) under uncultured bacterium. RNAcentral describes it as "bacterial SSU rRNA". It matches the Rfam family "Bacterial small subunit ribosomal RNA", at positions 338 to 958 of the family's 1533-position model. The record is from RNAcentral.
CCUACGGGAGGCAGCAGUGAGGAAUAUUGGACAAUGGGCGCAAGCCUGAUCCAGCCAUGCCGCGUGCAGGAUGACGGUCCUAUGGAUUGUAAACUGCUUUUGCACAGGAAGAAACAACGCUACGUGUAGCGUCUUGACGGUACUGUGAGAAUAAGGAUCGGCUAACUCCGUGCCAGCAGCCGCGGUAAUACGGGGGAUCCAAGCGUUAUCCGGAAUCAUUGGGUUUAAAGGGUCCGUAGGCGGUUUAGUAAGUCAGUGGUGAAAGCCCAUCGCUCAACGGUGGAACGGCCAUUGAUACUGCUAGACUUGAAUUAUUAGGAAGUAACUAGAAUAUGUAGUGUAGCGGUGAAAUGCUUAGAGAUUACAUGGAAUACCAAUUGCGAAGGCAGGUUACUACUAAUUGAUUGACGCUGAUGGACGAAAGCGUGGGUAGCGAACAGGAUUAGAUACCCUGGUAGUCCACGCCGUAAACGAUGGAUACUAGCUGUUGGGAGCAAUUUCAGUGGCUAAGCGAAAGUGAUAAGUAUCCCACCUGGGGAGUACGUUCGCAAGAUGAAACUUAAAGAGUAGUAGCGUGAGAGAGCGACGACGGACGACGACGGAGGGAGGAG